Molecule: long non-coding RNA, 1603 nt
Filed under: Homo sapiens (human)
Lineage: Eukaryota; Metazoa; Chordata; Mammalia; Primates; Hominidae
Description: HSALNT0389198
Source: RNAcentral
UUGUCGAGCGUUUUCCGCUGACGGAGCCCUCACCUCAGACACCGGCGGUAGGGCUGGAUGCGGGCCCGGCCCAGGACCGGUCUUCUGUCCUCACACCGGGGAGGACCACGCAGGAAGGAGCUGAGUCAGAGAGACCGUGUGUAAUUUGCUCAGCGUCACACAGAUAGUAAACGGCAGAGCCGCUCUUCCUCCCUGUCCCGCCAGCUCCUGCCUUCUGCUGUCUUGGAUCUCCUAUGCACGGGAAACCUGUUGAAGACGAGGUCUCACUGUGUUGCUCAAGCUGUCCUGGAAGUCCUGGACUGAAGUGAUCCUCCCACCUCGGCCUCCCAAGGUGCUGGGAUUACAGGUGUGAGCCACCAUGCCCAGCCAAAACCUUGAUUUUUCUGUCACCCCCUCCACUGCACCCUGAGAAUCACUGCUGGUGCUAAGAAAGGCAGGCAAGGAGUGUGAGCCCUGAAUCCAUCAGAAGAAACUCAGGACCCCAAACAUCUCCCUCUUCUUUUAUCCCUAGAAUGGACUUAGAGGAAACCGAAGAAAUCCCAAGCCACACCAAACAGGACCUCAAGACUCUCCCAUUUUUCUAUCAUCAGGGGCAUGUUUGGUACCUCUGGCGAUUUGCGAAAUGACCUUCUGACCCCAGAACUCCGAGUCAAACCCUGUGCCACACCCUUCCCAGGGCCCAGUGGUACUGCAUCAUCUGUUGCAAUCAGCUGCCGAGGCUUCACCACUGGUAUUCCUAUGAAAAAGCAAGUGUACCAGCUGUCAUCCAUCCUCGUUCUGAAGUCUCAGCUGUCUUUGGGGUUGCUACCCUAUUCUUCUGGGGCUCCACCAUAAAAGUUCUCACCAGUAGUCACCAGUUUGGACUUAUCCUCUUCAUCACCAACUUCAUCAUCUUCCACACUUCGGCCAGGAAAGAAAAAGCCCAUCAUUCUGUGGAAGAACUGGUGUGUCAGCUGGAUGGUGAGAGGCACCACAUUUACCUAAAAAGGAAAAAGAUUCAAGAAGCAAUUAAGCUCAGAUACCAUCAUCAGUUUACCUACUCCUAAUAUCGUGUAACACACAGGUGGCUUUUGAAUGUCCCUUGUUCCCAGGUCCCUAAGGGACUGCUUACUAACCUCAAAAUGCUCCUUAACAGAGAUACCCCCAACAGGGGGCCGAACUUUGCUGAAGAGGCGGAGAGCUAGCUGUCGCCCAGACUGGCAGGAGCUCUGGGGCCGCAGUACUACCUGUAGGAUAGAGAGUAAAGAAGAGCCCAACCCAAUGUCCUUCCUGCCAUAAAGCAACCCACAAAUCCUCUGCAGAAUGAGAGGAGAAGCAAUGGUACUGCUAAGCUGGGCAAGCUUUCACCCUCUCAGAUCACCACAUUGUUUUCCAUAGUGGAUUUAUACUGAAGGGCCGUUAUAAAUGCCCCGUGCUAAAAACAUGCAAAUGGACUAGGAAAGGGGAAAAAAGACUUGCCUUAUAGACAGCAUUGGGGAGGAGGUUGUUCAUGGUAAACCAGCCCAACUCCAGAAGAUGUUCUGCUGUGUCAUCAGACUUAUUCACCUAUAAAGACAGAUUUUGCCCCAUCUACUAUAAUAAACCUUUCUCAGAAGUCUACUAG